CCUACGGGCGGCAGCAGUGGGGAAUAUUGGACAAUGGGGGGAACUCUGAUCCAGCGACGCCGCGUGAGUGAAGAAGUCUUUCGGUAUGUAAAGCUCUAUCAGCAGGGAAGAAAAUGACGGUACCUGACUACGAAGCCCCGGCUAACUACGUGCCAGCAGCCGCGGUAAUACGUAGGGGGCAAGCGUUAUCCGGAUUUACUGGGUGUAAAGGGAGCGUAGACGGUGCAGCAAGUCUGAUGUGAAAGGUCGGGGCUCAACCCCGGGACUGCAUUGGAAACUGUUGAACUGGAGUACAGGAGAGGUAGGCGGAAUUCAUGGUGUAGCGGUGAAAUGCGUAGAGAUUAGGAGGAACACCAGUGGCGAAGGCGGCUUACUGGACUGUAACUGACGUUGAGGCUCGAAAGCGUGGGGAGCAAACAGGAUUAGAUACCCCAGUAGUC
This 440-nucleotide ribosomal RNA is filed under the name uncultured bacterium. RNAcentral's name for it is "partial 16S ribosomal RNA". It matches the Rfam family "Bacterial small subunit ribosomal RNA", at positions 338 to 795 of the family's 1533-position model. The record is from RNAcentral.